CACGACAUCAACAACCAGUAUGUUCAAAGAACACAUCAAUCAUAUCCGCGGUGGUUAGUAUCAGUGCUUUAUCAUGGGCGCGGACAUACGGGUACCAGAAUAUCAACUGGUUAUCCAUCGACUACGCCUGUCGGCCUCGCCUUAGGUCCCGACUCACCCUGGGAAGACGAACUUGACCCAGGAACCCUUAGUCAUCCGGCGGGAAGGAUUCUCACCUUCCAAUUCGUUACUC
This 232-nucleotide ribosomal RNA is filed under the name Anophryoides haemophila. Its description in RNAcentral is "partial Bacterial large subunit ribosomal RNA". The record is from RNAcentral. Lineage: Eukaryota; Ciliophora; Oligohymenophorea; Philasterida; Glauconematidae.